GUGCUGAAUUUGUGUAGUAGUGAUGUCCCCUACGCUCCCAAUUAAUCCUUUACUGCAUUGCUGAAUGUGCAGGUUUUUAUUCAGUUCUGUCUAUCAGGUGGGAGCGCAGGCGAAUCUGAUCCGGACACUGCAAGUCAAGCUGCAGAUGCUGAAUCUGAUGAAGACCAAGUGGCAUACUUUGAUACAAGAGAUUUUUUUUGUCUGCACAAUCUCUACAAAGUGCUUCUCCAAGGAGGGAACUUGUGACAAAUGGCUGCGAUGCAUUAGAAUCUAUUGGAGACUCCAGAUGGUAUACUGCCAAACCUACCAAGUAUCCCAUUGUUAAACGUCGAGAUAAGUUACCUGAGCCAAAGGAGAAAUAGAAGCCAAUAGGAUUAUGGUCAAUAAUUAAAGAAAAUUUAGGGAAAGGAAGAUCUCUCCAGUAUUUGUCUCCCUGUCUAUAUCAAUGAGCCUUUGUCUUCUCUGCAAAAAUGUUUGGAGGAUCUGGAGUACUCUUACUUGGUUGACAAUGCACUACAGUGGGGAAAACAGGCAUAGUUGAUAAUCCACUUCAACUCUCUUUAUAGCUCAUUGAUGCAAAGCAGUUCUGGUUUCAUCUCAGUAUAAGAUAUUUCCAUAUAUGCUCAUUAAGUAUUUCACCAUACAUUCUAUUUUUCAAAGCUUUUUAGUUUAGAUUCCUUUGUUAAAUAUAUUGAUAGAUAAGUUGACUGUAAUUUUAUGGUUAACUUCCGGGCAUCAUUUCAAAUGCUAAUGCAAGACAGUUGGGGAACUGUACAUAAUACUUUCUUUGGGACUUGAAUGCUUGAUUGAUCCCGCAAGCUAUGUAAUUUAUCGGUAUGUUAUCCAAUAUUCUUGUCAUACUUUCUAUGGUCGCAUGUGCUUGAUUUGAGAGUAUGAGUGUUAAGGAUUACUGAAUUUAGGAACGCCUUUGUGUAUCCCUGUCUUUGAUAUCUUAAGACCUGAUAUGUUUCAGUAAUUAAAUGGUGUCCUGUAUUUUUGGUUUAAGACAGACACUGAUAAUAAUUUGAGCCUUAGUUGUGUUUCUAUUAACUAGCAUAAGAUUACUUGAGGUAUUUAUCGCUACAUUUUCUUUUGGUGACAUGAACUGAAAAAAUUCUAUGAAAUAUACUUGUCUUAGGACUAAAACUAGAUGCAUUGUAUAACCCCUUUUCCUUUGUGCUCAAGGACGUGGUCCCCAGCUUGAGCGACUGCUUUAUCUACGAACAUUUGCGUGUUAGUUCUGAAUCAUCUAUUUGACAUUCAGAUUGAUAAGUGUUUUCUCAUGGACAAUUCACAAUUGUAUGUGGCUGUCUCACGAGUGGCAUCAUGGCAAGGGUUAAAGAUCUUAAUUGAAGAUGCCAAGGGUUAGUAGUAUGGGAGUUCCUGCCAAGACAGGCUUUUGAAAGUUAUGCUUGCUUCACCAGUUGGGCUUAACAAGGAAGUAAUUAAUUCUCUGUAGUAAAGAAGGGAGAGGUACCAGGUGUUGUGUUGGUGAUACAGCUCGCCCUGUGUAUGAUGUUUCAUCUCAAAAUCAAGAUGUUUCGAUCCCAGAAGAGAAGGCAAGGACAUGGCGGCGAUGGCGUGAUUUGGAGUAUAUGCUGCCUUUCUAUGCUCUCCAAAUGGGUGCGAAAAGAAUCAGCUUCACGGUAGCAGUUGACUUGGACUUUCAGUUAGCUGUGAACAUCAAUUUGAAUGAAGUUUAAAUGAAGCUGCAGUGGCAACGAAUUCAGACAUGUGCUGUAGUUUAAAUUUGACAGGAAUGCUGUCAAACUAAGUUUACAAGGACAUCGAUUUCUGUCAAACUAAGUUUACAGUGUCAACUGUUGUAGUUUAAAUGAAGCUGCAGUUUAAAGUGGAGCUACAGUGUCGACUGCUGUAGUUUAAAUUCAGCUGUAGUCAAUUUGCCCGUACAAAUUCUUGGUUGCUUCUCUGCUCCUCCAUCAGCAGAAAGUAAACUGAAUUUAUUUUUAAAUCCAUAUGC
Long non-coding RNA from Triticum dicoccoides, 1981 nucleotides. RefSeq lists it as uncharacterized. The record is from RefSeq and is a predicted model, not a curated record. Lineage: Eukaryota; Viridiplantae; Streptophyta; Magnoliopsida; Poales; Poaceae. The transcript is spliced from 5 exons.